UUCAAUAGGGACUGCAAUUAUCUUUUUCUAUGAUUUUUUGCUAUUUUCUCUAAUUUUUCACUAUCAAAAACCAAAAGUCACCCUAAACCAAAAAUAUACAACGCUUCAAAAAUAACUGUUUCUUUUCCGACAGAUGCUUUACUCUCUAUGUUUCCUUUCCUCCCUCUAUCUCAGUAUUCAUCCUCCUUUAUCUUUCUAUUUUCCUAUUGUUCUUUUCGUUUGCCUUUGUUAAAAUUUUCUAUACUCUUUCUCCUCCCUCUUUUUUAUUCUACACUGCUUUUGCUUCACGUUUGUUGAUUUACUUUAGUUCCUCCACUAAUCUCUAAACUCUUUCCUCAUGGUCAGUUUCAAUUUGCGUUUUCCAGUUACUUUCACUUUAAUUUUUAAUUCCCCUCUGACUUUGAUUCACUCCUUUGUCACCAUAACAACUGCUUAUUUUGACGCCCAUGAAGUGUUCGAAAAUAUGCCCAAUACCUUGCCCACCGAUUCAGGAAAUACUGCAAAUUUACUCAACACUUGCCGCAUAACAACUGCUUAUGACGCCAUGAAGUAUUCGAAAAUAUGCCCUAUAGGUUGACCUUGCCCAUGGAUUCAUAAAAUGCUGCAAAUUUACUCAACAUUUGCUGGUUGAUAGAUGGUAGUUUAAACCAACAAAAGGCCGUGAAAAAUUUCAGUUUGGCCUUUCUCCAUUCGUAUUUGAGGUACGCUCCGGAGAUUCUUAACUUAUUUGCUUUUUGCGUAAGGGUGUAAAGAUUCUAAUAUAAAUAACUUUUUCAAAAUUGAUAACUGAGGGUGUGUACGAUAUGGAGUACAAGAAUUUUGCUUUACUGAUACUUUUAAUGGUAAAAGUGUUCGUCAACGAUGUCUAUAAAUGUUGAUUGUAGUUUACUGAUAUGGAGCUUAAACUAUAUUAGACUGUCAUUAUAGCCUCAAAUAUUGGUGUUAAAACUCAAAACAUUACGAACUGAUUUUCAAAAUAAGAUCGUCUUGACGUUGACACCGAAACACGUAACUUAGAAGGCUAAAGAAAAAAUAAAACUCAAGGUCAGAGAGCGUUAAUGGGAGGUUAUAAAAUUAAUACUACUCCAAAAUUGCCAAGAACCAAACAAAAUUAACAUAUUUUCCUAUAAAACCUUAUGAUACUGAACUUUUGGUUAAUGCCCUCCUCUGUUAUGCUAGGUUGAUGCCCUCCUCUGUUAUGCUGUAAUUUUGGUUAGCAAUAUAAGGACUACGCCUCCUAAUGGCGUAAAUUAUAUUAAAAAAAAUAAAAAACUUAUGAUACUGCCUAAAUCUAUUCUGCUCUACCAAAGUUCUUUCCUUAUUUUGAUUACAGCAAUUUGUUUCAAGAACACGCACUUGAACUAACUUAAAAUUUGUGAGAGAAUUUGCAAUAAGAAACAUCUAAAACUUCUAUCUAAUCACGACACAAUUUUAUGUGGCAUAAAUGAUUGCUUAAUUGCUAUACUAUAAAUUGGUCAUUAUUUAUCUCUAAUCAGUAGCACUUUUUUCAUGCCUUUUAGCUCAACUUGAUAAAGAUUGAUCAUAUAUAUGUGUAUAUAAUUUAUUUAUGGUUGAAUAAAAUUAAGGAGGAAGAAAACUAACUACCUUGUUAUCCAUAUUCAUGUAAAUACCAAAUUGGAAAAAAUAUGAAGGAAAAACAAACGAAGAUUAAGACUUACCAACAGUUGUAGCAGCGAUGAAGAGAGGAAUGAAGGUAGUGAAAAUACAAAAUCAAUAUCACAUAAAUAGUGCUAGAAAUAAGAGAGAAAGUAAAGCACAAAAGCCAGAGAAGAAGAUGCUCACAAAAAAACACAUAUAGGAGGCGACAUAUGCAGAAUUAAGUGCAAUUUGUCAUUUUUAAGGGUUAGGCAAGAGUUUUAAUUUAAUUGUGAUGACUGAUGACCAUUGGACAUAUUUAUGUCUAUAAAUAUUGAUUAUAGUUUACUGAUAAGGAGUUUAGAGUACGUUAGAUUUUCAUUGUAACCUCAGAUAUUAAUAUUGGAUAGAUCAUGUUACUUCUCAUUUUCAUUUGACUAUACAAAAUUCUUACUAUAUCAGUAUUAUUAACUUAAAAGCCUCAUUAACUUCGAUUGUUUCUUGGUGAUGUUUAAAUGAAUCUUCCGCUUAUUCAAUAUUCUUCUUAAAGUUUGAAUGUGUUAUGUUCAAUUUGUCAUUUUGUUAAUAGGUUGGAUUAUCUUCUUGCCUAAGUAUUUCGCACAUGACUAAGUCUGAAUGUAUCAUUGCUUUGGCUUAAGAUUUUGUUUCUGUCGCAAUUACAUUUGAUCUUUUGUUAGGUAAUUUAGCAAAUAGUAGUUCUUCCUUUUUCCCUGGCUAAGUUUCCUUUCACACAGUUUUUGACUUGUAUAAGCUUAUUUGCAUUGUAAUGACCUUCAGUUUCCAGAUUGUGUCCAUUAUUUCAUAAAAAACUUACAAAGGUUUACUGACAUAAAUUACAUCUCGAUAAAGGUAUGAAAAUAAUGUUAAAUCAUAUAUUUUCUUGGGUUUUAUAUAGCGGUUCCAUAUAAGUUAAAAUUUACAAUACUCUUUUCUAAUGAAAUACAGAAAAUCUACAUGCUUUGUAUAUGCUGUAUAAUUUUAAACUAGAAGGACACCAGACAUUUACAGGACUCUAUUGAGAAAUGAGGCUGGUAAUAUGAAGUGAUUAAGUUGCCGCUUUGAGGAAAGCUCUUCUCAACCUCAACGGGUUUCACUUUUCAGGACAAGGAUCUGUGAUGUAUCUUAAGAAUGGAUUGGUGGACUUUAAAACCUUCAGAUGGCAUCACUUGACAAUUAUGUGAAGUUCAUAGCAAAAAGUUUGGAAAAUGAAAUGUUGUGCCUAAAUAAGAUAUGGAGGGAGACUGUAUACUGGCGUGGACCUACAUAACGGCAAUGAGGAUCAUUGUAAGGCAGGGUACUUAGGACCAUAUUUUAAUAGGUUGCCUAGAAGUUGAAACAUUUGCACGCCCUCAUACAUAGGUUGUGUCAUGUAUGGUGCUUGAAGGACCAAAAUUGCACUCAUAGAUAUCAUUGAAAAA
Non-coding RNA from Nicotiana tabacum (common tobacco), 3035 nucleotides. NCBI's taxonomy places the organism in Eukaryota, Viridiplantae, Streptophyta, Magnoliopsida, Solanales, Solanaceae. The record is from RefSeq and is a predicted model, not a curated record.